GUGCUUUUGGGCUGGUAUUUUACUUUUUUAGCCAAAAAAAUGCUGAAAUCAUCGCUGGUUCUUUGUUCCUCUUCUCCACUGAAGAAGUCUCUGGUUCUUUGUUCCUCUUCUCCACCACUGGUUCUUUUCACCUACAAUAAACUACUUGACUUCAAAAGGGCACAAUCUUUACCUACCCUUGGUUCUUGGACUUGACAAAGUUGUGCCUGAAGCUCAAAAAUUUAGAACAUCGGGCAUUGAUCCUGAAUUCGAAGAGAAGUUGGACCAAAUAUUCAUGGGGAUAGUUGCAAUAGGUGAUAAAGCAUGGGCACCUUCUUCUGGUAUACUCCGUAGUGAUUUUUUUGAGGAUGUUAACAACGAAAUACCUGAAGAGAAUGAAGAAGAUAUGGGAAAUGAUGUUCACAUUUUAAAUGAUGUUCACAUUUCAAAUGAUGUUCAAAUUGAUGGAAACAAUCAAAAAAGAAAAAACCCUGAGAUAUCAAGUUCACAUUUUAAAACUGGAAGUAAGAAAUCCUUAAAGCAAGAUUGUCCAGUCAAAUAGACAAAUUAUGCAAUGCAUAUGACAAUAUGAGUCAAGCCACAUCUAGUUUGACUCCUGUUAUGGAUCCAUAUGGUAUUCCACAAGCAGUCAAAGUGCUUGACAGCAUGUUGGAAGAAGUUCCAAAAGCUAGUCUGCUAUACUUUUUCGCACUUAAAUUAUUGUUGAAUAAGGACAAACGAAUUAUGUUUCUAUCGAUUAAUCCCAAUAUUAGAUCUUUGUGUCUUAAGGCAGAAAUGGAGGAUAGUUGAAAAUUUUCUGAUCUUCUAGGGUUCAAAGAUAUCUAUUAUGUGACUAAACAGCAAUGCUAAACUAGUUUUAUCAAUAGUUAUUUAUGUUUGGUUUUUGGAUAUUGAAUUUAUGUUCUACUUAUUUAUGUGUAAUCUAGUUUUAUCAAUGGUUGUUUAUGUUUGGUUUUUGGAUAUUGAAUUUAUGUUCUACUUAUUUAUGUGUAAUCUAGUUUUAUUAAUAGUUGUUUA
This is a long non-coding RNA of Gossypium raimondii (Peruvian cotton), 1017 nucleotides long. RefSeq lists it as uncharacterized. The transcript is spliced from 3 exons. Lineage: Eukaryota; Viridiplantae; Streptophyta; Magnoliopsida; Malvales; Malvaceae. The record is from RefSeq and is a predicted model, not a curated record.